AUUGAACGCUGGCGGCAUGCUUUACACAUGCAAGUCGAACGGUAACAGGCCGCCAGGUGCUGACGAGUGGCGAACGGGUGAGUAAUGCAUCGGAACGUGCCCAGUCGUGGGGGAUAACUACUCGAAAGAGUAGCUAAUACCGCAUACGAUCUAUGGAUGAAAGCGGGGGACCGUAAAGCCUCGCGCGAUUGGAGCGGCCGAUGUCAGAUUAGGUAGUUGGUGGGGUAAAGGCUCACCAAGCCAACGAUCUGUAGCUGGUCUGAGAGGACGACCAGCCACACUGGGACUGAGACACGGCCCAGACUCCUACGGGAGGCAGCAGUGGGGAAUUUUGGACAAUGGGCGCAAGCCUGAUCCAGCAAUGCCGCGUGCAGGAAGAAGGCCUUCGGGUUGUAAACUGCUUUUGUACGGAACGAAACGGCUCUGGUUAAUACCCGGGGCUAAUGACGGUACCGUAAGAAUAAGCACCGGCUAACUACGUG
Molecule: ribosomal RNA, 482 nt
Filed under: uncultured bacterium
Lineage: Bacteria
Description: partial 16S ribosomal RNA
Rfam family: Bacterial small subunit ribosomal RNA
Source: RNAcentral